This 107-nucleotide small nuclear RNA is filed under the name Phocoena sinus (vaquita). The record is from RNAcentral. RNAcentral also lists the same sequence under 1 other name. Lineage: Eukaryota; Metazoa; Chordata; Mammalia; Artiodactyla; Phocoenidae.
GUGCUCGCUUCAGCAACACACAUACUAAAAUUGGAAUGAUACAGGGAAGGUUAGCAUGGCCCCUGUGCAAGGAUGCCGUGCAAAUUCAUGAAGUGCUCCAUAUUAAA